UUUCCGUAGGUGAACCUGCGGAAGGAUCAUUAUCAAACAGCGGACUUCGGUCCUUGCUGCACCCUUGCUUUUGCGUACCGAUUUGUUUCCUCGGCGGGCUUGCCUGCCGAUAGGACAUUAUCAAACCAUUUUGUAGUUGCAAUCAGCGUCAGAAAAAUAUAAUUAUUACAACUUUCAACAACGGAUCUCUUGGUUCUGGCAUCGAUGAAGAACGCAGC
Molecule: unclassified non-coding RNA, 218 nt
Filed under: uncultured fungus
Lineage: Eukaryota; Fungi
Description: sequence contains ITS1, 5.8S rRNA gene
Rfam family: 5.8S ribosomal RNA (bases 170-218)
Source: RNAcentral